This 146-nucleotide non-coding RNA is filed under the name uncultured Prevotella sp. The record is from RNAcentral. Lineage: Bacteria; Pseudomonadati; Bacteroidota; Bacteroidia; Bacteroidales; Prevotellaceae.
CAUUGCGAAGUGGAAUCAAAGGAAUACAAAGACAGACAUUUAAUCUAACGGAAAGAAACUUCAUAUAAAGCGUACAAUCGUAGUAAGGUUACAAAACAAACUAAAACCCAUAACUAUUUGGAACGGUUGGUGUAAAUGAAGUUUUA